This 230-nucleotide long non-coding RNA is filed under the name Linum usitatissimum (flax). Its description in RNAcentral is "long non-coding RNA (LUSI_LNC001044)". Lineage: Eukaryota; Viridiplantae; Streptophyta; Magnoliopsida; Malpighiales; Linaceae. The record is from RNAcentral.
UUGGAUUUGAAAAAUUAUAAUGAACAACAUUUGUGAAGAUAACAAUAUAUUUUAAGUAAUACAUAACUUUUUAUGUAAGAAAAAUAAAUUUAAAGAAAAUAAAUAUGAGAAAUUAUGAGAGAAGAAAUAUGAUUGAUGGAAUGAAGAAAAAAUGGGGCCAAUCAAAUUUAAUGAAAACAUCAUAUAUCAAAUGGUUUUAACUAUAUUCCUAUAUAUAUUAUUUUAGAUUA